Molecule: ribosomal RNA, 442 nt
Filed under: uncultured bacterium
Lineage: Bacteria
Description: bacterial SSU rRNA
Rfam family: Bacterial small subunit ribosomal RNA
Source: RNAcentral
GUGAGGAAUAUUGCGCAAUGGACGAAAGUCUGACGCAGCAACGCCGCGUGCGGGAUGAAGGCCCUUUGGGUCGUAAACCGCUGUAGCAGGGGAAAAAUAUCCGUCUCGGACGGAUUGAUGGUACCCUGAAAGUAAGCCUCGGCUAACUACGUGCCAGCAGCCGCGGUAAUACGUAGGAGGCAAGCGUUGUCCGGAUUUACUGGGUGUAAAGGGUCCGCAGGCGGGCUUUUUAGUCGGGGGUGAAAUCCUACAGCUUAACUGUAGAACUGCCUCCGAUACUGGAAGUCUUGAAUAUGGUAGAGGGCAACGGAAUUCCAGGUGUAGCGGUGAAAUGCUUAGAUAUCUGGAAGAACACCGGUUGCGAAGGCUGUUGCCUGGGCCAUUAUUGACGCUCAUGGACGAAAGCGUGGGGAUCAAACAGGAUUAGAAACCCCAGUAGUCC